UGGGGAAUUUUCCGCAAUGGGCGCAAGCCUGACGGAGCAAGACCGCGUGCGGGAGGACGGCCUAUUGGUUGUAAACCGCUUUUGAUAGGGAAGAAGCUCUGACGGUACCUAUCGAAUCAGCAUCGGCUAACUCCGUGCCAGCAGCCGCGGUAAUACGGAGGAUACAAGCGUUAUCCGGAAUUAUUGGGCGUAAAGCGUCCGUAGGUGGUUGUUCAAGUCUGCUGUUAAAGCGUGCGGCUUAACCGCAUA
Molecule: ribosomal RNA, 249 nt
Filed under: uncultured Leptolyngbya sp.
Lineage: Bacteria; Bacillati; Cyanobacteriota; Cyanophyceae; Leptolyngbyales; Leptolyngbyaceae
Description: partial 16S ribosomal RNA
Rfam family: Bacterial small subunit ribosomal RNA
Source: RNAcentral